AUAUGCUUGCUGAAGCUGCUGAUCGUGAUUUAAGGUGAUUCACUCAAUGGCGAAAGAUGGAGCUGUGUGCUGAGAUUGUCCUGUAGCUGCACUAUAUUUAGGAGGUAAUAUGUGUUUGAUAGAGUACAGGUGGGUGCAUAUGUUUAUAUAUUCAUGAUGACUUGUAUAGAGGUAUUAUUAUUAUUUUAACCAAGAAGUUUACUCAUCCUUUUUUUUUUUUUUUUUUUUUUUUUUUAGCAGAAUAUGUAUCAAAGAGCCCUUCCCUGCCCAAAGAGAAACCCAUCCUCUGCAGCUAACCAGAGUUCAAACAGCAGAGGCAUUUCAACACAUCACAGAGCCCUGCAUACUGGCUGGCUGCUUCUCAAGUUAAAGAUUUAUAAUAUAUUUAAUAUGGAUGAAAACUAGAACCACGGGUUGUAAACUAUUAAUGGAAGAGCAGUAGACUCCUGCAAUCAGUAUGCAGGCACUGGUCUUGGAGCAUGAAAUUCCCUUGCGGUGUGGAGAUGUGAGGAGGCCCCUGUGAAGCAUGGCCACCAGUGUCCGAGGGGAACAAGAUCAGUAGGAAGAUGACCCAGGCCCCAUGGCUGCUACCAUCAUGUCCUGUGUGAUGGCCCCACUGCUCUCCUCAGCAAGGAGGAGGGAUGCCUUCAGAGAAUGUAGACGGCCAGCUCAGGAAUGGAUGCCUGCACUGAAGACAUUGAAGCUUAGAUGCAUCCCAACUGCUUGCUUGGUAAACAAUAUUGUGGCAUUCAAGGUCUGGGGCAUCACACUGAACAAUGACGACAAAAUCUGUUCAUUUAGUUGAGCACUGUCUAUUUUAUUCACUAAAUUAUACAGGAGGUCCUUUAAAAAGCAUAAUUACAUGUUUCUGUAGUUAUUAACUUUGUCACGGUGAAUUUGCAGAAAGUGAUGCUGUCUGUAAAACCUUAAUUGUACUUUUUUUUUUUUUAAAAAAAAAAAAAAACAAAACAACUCCUGAAUCUUUGAUGAAAUGCCAAUCGAUUCCUGGGAAUUUUUAGAAGCAAAGCUGAAAAAAACCUAAAGUUUCCGUUUUCGUGAGGGACUGUUCAUUGAUGGAGCUGGAACCUUCUAUUGCACAGACCUUUGGCACUUCAGUGUUAGAAUAACUGAUAGCUGCUUCAGAUUGUCAUUGUCUAUGUUUUCCAGCAGUAAAGGAGAAUUAAAAGUGCCCUUUCCAAGGUGCUUUUUAGGUUAUGGCUGAUAUCAGGGGUGUGGUGAGACUGAGGAAUUUCUGCAUUUUGGAGGGGAAGUUCCACUGGUGAUUAGAGA
RNAcentral lists this long non-coding RNA (1290 nucleotides) under Anas platyrhynchos platyrhynchos (common mallard). RNAcentral's name for it is "lncRNA (ENSAPLG00000022827.1)". Lineage: Eukaryota; Metazoa; Chordata; Aves; Anseriformes; Anatidae. The record is from RNAcentral.